CUUUCACAUGCAGUCGAACGGCAGCACGGGGGCAACCCUGGUGGCGAGUGGCGAACGGGUGAGUAAUACAUCGGAACGUGCCCGGUCGUGGGGGAUAACGUAGCGAAAGUUACGCUAAUACCGCAUACGAUCUGAGGAUGAAAGCGGGGGACCUUCGGGCCUCGCGCGAUCGGAGCGGCCGAUGUCAGAUUAGGUAGUUGGUGGGGUAAAGGCCUACCAAGCCGACGAUCUGUAGCUGGUCUGAGAGGACGACCAGCCACACUGGGACUGAGACACGGCCCAGACUCCUACGGGAGGCAGCAGUGGGGAAUUUUGGACAAUGGGCGCAAGCCUGAUCCAGCCAUUCCGCGUGCAGGACGAAGGCCUUCGGGUUGUAAACUGCUUUUGUACGGAACGAAAAGGCUCUGGCUAAUACCUGGGGCUCAUGACGGUACCGUAAGAAUAAGCACCGGCUAACUACGUGCCAGCAGCCGCGGUAAUACGUAGGGUGCAAGCGUUAAUCGGAAUUACUGGGCGUAAAGCGUGCGCAGGCGGUUAUGUAAGACAGAGGUGAAAUCCCCGGGCUCAACCUGGGAACUGCCUUUGUGACUGCACAGCUGGAGUACGGCAGAGGGGGAUGGAAUUCCGCGUGUAGCAGUGAAAUGCGUAGAUAUGCGGAGGAACACCGAUGGCGAAAGCAAUCCCCUGGGCCUGUACUGACGCUCAUGCACGAAAGCGUGGGGAGCAAACAGGAUUA
This 736-nucleotide ribosomal RNA is filed under the name uncultured bacterium. RNAcentral describes it as "bacterial SSU rRNA". It matches the Rfam family "Bacterial small subunit ribosomal RNA", at positions 48 to 780 of the family's 1533-position model. The record is from RNAcentral.